UACGAAGGGGGCUAGCGUUGCUCGGAAUCACUGGGCGUAAAGGGUGCGUAGGCGGGUCUUUAAGUCAGGGGUGAAAUCCUGGAGCUCAACUCCAGAACUGCCUUUGAUACUGAGGAUCUUGAGUUCGGGAGAGGUGAGUGGAACUGCGAGUGUAGAGGUGAAAUUCGUAGAUAUUCGCAAGAACACCAGUGGCGAAGGCAGGUCUCUGGGCUGACACUGACGCUCAUGCACGAAAGCGUGGGGAGCAAACAGG
This 253-nucleotide ribosomal RNA is filed under the name uncultured bacterium. RNAcentral describes it as "partial 16S ribosomal RNA". It matches the Rfam family "Bacterial small subunit ribosomal RNA", at positions 524 to 776 of the family's 1533-position model. The record is from RNAcentral.